Molecule: long non-coding RNA, 2204 nt
Filed under: Canis lupus familiaris (dog)
Lineage: Eukaryota; Metazoa; Chordata; Mammalia; Carnivora; Canidae
Description: lncRNA (ENSCAFG00845013184.1)
Source: RNAcentral
GGUUUACAGUAGGUCCACAGAUUCUGACACUUCCUUCAAAAAGUAGAGCCUAAUUCCUCUCCUACAUCAUGACCAUAAGUCAAAACCAGCCUGUUAGCCACUUCUGAAUUCUUCACCUCUGGUAACUAAGAGAAGUAUUUGUUGCUUUCAGCCACUAGGGUUUGGAGUAAUUUAUUACACAGCAAUAGGUAACUAAUGCAGAAUUUCUACAGUUACUGUAUUUAAACUAUAAAAGUUUUAUUUUUUUAUUUUUUUAUAUAAAAGUUUUAGUAUCUAAGGUGAGCAAAAUCUAGUUAGAACACCUUACAGAGUGUUGCUUUAACCUGGCUUCUAUCUGUCUGGGAUUGUGGCAGAUUGAGAAUUGUGUACAAACAUGUUUAAGACACUAAGGUCCUGACACAAUUUAAAUUUUCCCUUUGGAUAACUAAGACAUACUUAUAUGAAUACAGCCUUGCACAUACCAGACCAAAAAAAGAAAGAAAGAAAACCAGUGAGUGAAUUCUUAACUGUUGCUCUAAAAAUACAAAAUACAAUAUACACAAGUGGUUAGGUGGUGUUUAAAUGAAGUUCUAUGGAUUUCAAAGGAAUAGAUAUUCACUGUGGAUGAAAGAUUCAGAGAGAAAGUGGCACUUAAAAUAAGUAGAGGUGGAAUUUGUUUUAGAAAGACUAAAAUGAAAAAAAAAAGACUAAAAUGAUAAAGCAGAAAAGAGCAUGCUGAGUAGGACAGCACAGAUUCCAAUGAAGCAGCAGAAUCGAAUACAUGAGGAUACAAGAUAUGUGUUAAUCAGAGUGUGUUUUGAGGAGUUGUAAAAGUUUAAGACGAUCCAAUAGAUGAUUUCCAGCACAAUAUAAAUCUAGGCUCUUUAUCCUACAAGGUUAGAGCAGUCAUUUAAGGUUUUAAUAUGUUUAAAUAGCUUUUGGGAAGAUUAAUCUGGACAUAGUACCUCUGAGACACAGCAGGAGAGUAGGGAAAGGAAAAAUCCUGAAGGGCAAGACAGUGGCAGUGGGGACAUUACUAAUGUCAGUGCUGUACUAGCUUCAGCAGCACAUAGACUAAUAAUGUGUCUGUUACAUACUAGGCACUAAGAGCUUUACAUGUAUUACUUUCCUUACACCUCACAAGAACUCUUUAAAUAGGUACUAUAUUAUACCCAUUUUACAGAUAAGGAAACAGAACUUGGAGUUUAAGCAGCUUGCACAAGUUUGUACAGGUGUUUGACUCCAGAGCCAGGACCCCCACUAGAGCACACCACCUGGAGACAUUUUAAGAAUGAAUAUUAGUAAAUGAAGAAUAUAAGACUUUGACAAUAGAAGAGGGGGUUGUGUUCUAUAAAUUUAAAAAAUUUUAUUGAGUAACUCUUAUGUGCCAGGGUCUUAACUGUAUGAGAUGUUUUAUAUGUUUAACCUAUAACCCACGGUUUGGUAAGGUGAUCCAGGAUCAUUCCCAUUUUACAAAUGAGUAGCCUGAGGCUUGGUGUAACUUAAAAAUAGUUACCUCAGAAGUUUGCUGGAUGCCACAGCAAUGAACACUCACAGGAUUAAAAUUCAGGUUGCUCCUUCCAGUAAGCACCACGUUUCUUUCCUAACCAGGGACUCCCUACUGUGCACAGAGACCUAAAAGAAUGCAGACUGAAGAGGACAGCCACUCUGACAUACUGUGUAUAAUUUUUAAGCCACAACUCAACUCUUGUUGUUGAACAUGGAGUUUGGGGAUGGUUCUGAAUCACAGAAUAUUGCCUACAGUAGAGGAAAACUGAUGCUGUAAGGAGUGAAUACUUUUGGGUAUCUGCUAUAACUGGUCUUUGUAGAAUCCCGUCUAUAAAACGAGAGUAGCAGCGUCCACCUGAAAGGAUUGUGAGAUCAGCAGUGCGGAGAACCUAGCAAAUGUUCAAAACACACUAUUACAACGAAAUGUAUUCCUAUUCUGGCAAAAAAAAAUAUUAAACCACACUACAUCUAUGAAAUCUUGUACAGAUUCCUAUCAUUGUUCUCCCCCCUAUUCAUCUUUACGCAUAAGACAAACUUAUUUGUUCAUUUUUGGACCUGAAACGGAAACGAGUUACCGUAGCAACUGGAAAAAACAAAACCAGAAGGAUUAAAAUGCCACUCUUGCUGCUUUUAAUUAAAAACCCUAAAAAGGCAUACCCACUUGGACACUUGGAUGUUACUUAAUUAACAAUCAGUAAGGAAAAGAUACUGAAGCA